Molecule: unclassified non-coding RNA, 253 nt
Filed under: uncultured Pseudobdellovibrionaceae bacterium
Lineage: Bacteria; Pseudomonadati; Bdellovibrionota; Bdellovibrionia; Bdellovibrionales; Pseudobdellovibrionaceae
Description: uncultured Bdellovibrionaceae bacterium contains 16S-23S intergenic spacer region
Rfam family: Bacterial small subunit ribosomal RNA
Source: RNAcentral
UACGGAGGGUGCAAGCGUUGCUCGGAAUCACUGGGCGUAAAGGGUACGCAGGCGGCUCGUCAAGUCGGAUGUGAAAGCCCGGGGCUCAACCCCGGAAUUGCAUUCGAAACUGGCGGGCUCGAGUACGGGAGAGGGGAGCGGAAUUCCUGGUGUAGAGGUGAAAUUCGUAGAUAUCAGGAGGAACACCAGCGGCGAAAGCGGCUCCCUGGCCCGAUACUGACGCUCAUGUACGAAAGCGUGGGAAGCAAACAGG